UCACUGCUUGCAGUGGUUGAUUAGUGGCGAACGGGUGAGUAACACGUGAGGAACUUGCCCAUGAGCGGGGGACAACAUUCGGAAACGGAUGCUAAUACCCCAUAGGUGGAUUGGUCGCAUGACGAAUUCAUUAAAGGUGGCUCUGCUACCACUCAUGGAUAGCCUCGCGGCGUAUUAGCUAGUUGGUAAGGUAAUGGCUUACCAAGGCAUUGAUACGUAGCCGACUUGAGAGGGUGAUCGGCCACACUGGGACUGAGACACGGCCCAGACUCCUACGGGAGGCAGCAGUAGGGAAUCUUCCACAAUGGGUGCAAACCUGAUGGAGCAAUGCCGCGUGAGUGAAGAAGGUCUUCGGAUCGUAAAGCUCUGUUGUUAGAGAAGAACACGUGCUAGGUAACUACUAGCGCCUUGACGGUAUCUAACCAGAAAGUCACGGCUAACUACGUGCCAGCAGCCGCGGUAAUACGUAGGUGACAAGCGUUGUCCGGAUUUAUUGGGCGUAAAGGGAGCGCAGGCGGUCUGUUUAGUCUAAUGUGAAAGCCCACGGCUUAACCGUGGAACGGCAUUGGAAACUGACAGACUUGAAUGUAGAAGAGGAAAAUGGAAUUCCAAGUGUAGCGGUGGAAUGCGUAGAUAUUUGGAGGAACACCAGUGGCGAAGGCGAUUUUCUGGUCUAACAUUGACGCUGAGGCUCGAAAGCGUGGGGAGCGAACAGGAUUAGAUACCCUGGUAGUCCACGCCGUAAACGAUGAGUGCUAAGUGUUGGGGGCUUUCCGGCCCUCGGUGCUGGAGCUAACGUAUUAAGCACUCCGCCUGGGGAUUACGACCGCAAGGUUGAAACUCAAAAGAAUUGACGGGGACCCGCACAAGCGGUGGAGCAUGUGGUUUAAUUCGAAGCAACGCGAAGAACCUUACCAGCUCUUGACAUCUUCUGACAACUCUAGAGAUAGAGCGUUCCCUUCGGGGACAGAAUGACAGGUGGUGCAUGGUUGUCGUCAGCUCGUGUCGUGAGAUGUUGGGUUAAGUCCCGUAACGAGCGCAACCCUUGUUGUUAGUUGCCAGCAUUAAGUUGGGCACUUUAACGAGACUGCCGGUGAUAAA
Molecule: ribosomal RNA, 1101 nt
Filed under: uncultured bacterium
Lineage: Bacteria
Description: bacterial SSU rRNA
Rfam family: Bacterial small subunit ribosomal RNA
Source: RNAcentral